UGUCGCGCUGGUGCUGGCGCGGCAACACCCGCAGUUCCCGAUUCCCUCUCACCCUACCCUGUUCCCAGCGGCCUGAGCUCCUUCCGGCAGCGACACUGAGCGCUUCGCCAAGCGAAUCCUUGGAGAGAUUGUCUCUCCGAAAAGUCGAUCUUGCAGUUCGUUGAAAGGGACAGACUGACCGGGCUCUUCACCAACUGAGCCCUUGCAGAGAACUGCCUUUGAAGAUCACUCGUGUCCUUUAUUGAAAGGCAAAAGUACUGUGUCUGGUUCUGAGACCUUCACUGCAGCAAAGAUUCUCCCUCCCCGAACUUGGUCCAGGGAGGGGGAACACAGCUGAUGCAGACUCUAGAGGUGAGCUGAGACACAGUCACUGGUAGGACUUAUCCACCCACAACAUCCUUCAGAAUGGAUUCUGGAUUCCAGAGGAGAGAGGUGCUAGCUCGCCCUCUAAGGCCGAGAGAGGCUGAGAAGCCUGAGCGUCUGACCAUUUUUGACUUCAGGAAGGUGGGUCUCAGGUUCAGGAAGAAGCCGGACAGCCCUCAGGAGGCAAAGCUGCCCAAGAUUGCCCUGCACCUAGGCACAAGUGAGAGCUCCAAUUACAAGUUCUCAUCACCUGACCGGAACAAGACCUUGCUUGAGCCUUGCCCAUCUGAGCUGGUGUUUCAGAACUAUGUCCUUGGCAAGGUCUGUGAAAUGCCCCUGCUUCUGAGGAACAGAGACA
This is a long non-coding RNA of Pipra filicauda (Wire-tailed manakin), 721 nucleotides long. RefSeq lists it as uncharacterized. Lineage: Eukaryota; Metazoa; Chordata; Aves; Passeriformes; Pipridae. The transcript has 5 exons. The record is from RefSeq and is a predicted model, not a curated record.